Molecule: long non-coding RNA, 2166 nt
Filed under: Manacus vitellinus (golden-collared manakin)
Lineage: Eukaryota; Metazoa; Chordata; Aves; Passeriformes; Pipridae
Description: lncRNA (ENSMVIG00005001467.1)
Source: RNAcentral
CUGGCACCCACAUGGCCCCACACGUGUCCUUGUGUGCACACACGUGACCUCACACACACACACACAUGUCCCUCUCACACAUACGUGUCCCUCACACACAUACGUGUCCCUCAGACACACGUGUCACACACCUGUCCUCACAGUCACACACACACGUGUCCCUCUCACACACAUGUGACCUCACACACACACGCGUGUCCCUGUGCACACACGUGUCCCUCACACACGCGUGUCACACACCUGUCCUCGCUCACACACACACAUGACCUCUCACACACGCACGUGUCCCUUGCACACACAUGUGACCUCACAGACACACGUGUCCCUGCGCACACACACGUGUCCCUCUUGCACGCGUGUCCCUCUCACACGCGUGCCCCUCACACACGCGUGUCCCUGUGCACACACGCGUGAACCCCAAACCCAUCCCUCGCACACGCGUGUGCCCCCCCCACACGUGUCCCUCGCACACGCACCCACACGCGUGUCCUCAAACACGGCCCUCGCACACUCACCCGCCCCCUCUCCCACACGCCUCUCACACGUGGCCCUUGCACACCCGUCCCUCGCACACCCAACAGUCCACACCCAUCCCUUGCACACCCACCCCUGGCACACUCACAGUCCCUCACACACAUCACACACGUGGCCCUCGCACACUCACGUGUCUCACACCCACAGUCCCUUACACACCCAUCCCUUGCACACCCGUCCCUUGCACACCCGUCCCUUGCACACUCACCUGUCCCUUGCACACCCACAGUCCCUCACACACAUCACACACGUGUCCCUUGCACACUCACCCGUCCCUUGCACACACACGUCUCACACCCACAGACCCUCGCACACUCACGUGUGUCCCCCCACAUCACACACCUGUCCCUUGCACACCCGUCCCUCGCACACUCACGUGUCCCUCACACACAUCACACACCCGUGCCUUGCACACUCCUGUCUCACACACGCAUGUCCCUCGCACACACACGUGUCUCACACCCACAGACCCUCGCACACCCACCCCUGGCACACUCACAGUCCCUCACACACAUCACACACACGUCCCUUGCACACUCAUGUCUCACACACGUGUGUCCCUCACACAUCACGCACCCGUCCCUUGCACACCCACAGUCCGUCACACACUCCCGUGUCCCUCACACACAUCACACACGUGUCCCUUGCACACUCACCUGUCCCUCCCCAUCACACACCCGUCCCUCGCACACUCAUGUCUCACACACACACGUGUCUCACACCCACAGUCCCUUGCACACUCAUGUGUCCCUCACACACAUCACACCCAUCCCUCGCACACUCACCUGUCCCUCACACAUCACACACGUGUCCCUUGCACACCCACAGUCCCUCACACUCACAGUCCCUUACACACUCAUGUGUCCCUUGCACACUCAUCCAUCCCUUGCACACUCACCUGUCCCCCCCAUCACCCACAGUCCCUUACACACUCACCUGUCCCUCACACACCCACGUCUCACACCCAUCCCUCCCUUGCACACCCGUCCCUUGCACACUCAUGUCCCUCACACACAUCACACACGUGUCCCUCGCACACCCAUCCCUCACACACUCACCUGUCCCUCUCCACGUGUGUCCCUCGCACACUCGUGUGUCACACCCAUCCCUUGCACACCCACAGUCCCUCACACACAUCACACACCCGUCCCUUGCACACUCACCCAUCCCUUGCACACCCACAGUCCCUCACACACAUCACACACCCAUCCCUUGCACACUCACCUGUCCCUCUCCACGUGUGUCCCUCGCACACUCGUGUGUCACACCCGUCCCUUGCACACCCAGUCCCUCACACACAUCACACACCCGUCCCUUGCACACUCACCCGUCCCUCUCCCACGCGUGUCCCUCACACACUCACGUGUCUCACACCCACAGUCCCUUGCACACCCGUCCCUUGCACACCCACCUGUCCCUCUUUCACAUGUCCCUUGCACACUCACCCGUCCCUCACCCGGCCACGUCUCACACCCACAGUCCCUCGCACACCCACCCCUCGCACACUCACGUGACCCUCACACACAUCACACGCGUGUCCCUUGCACACUCAUCCGUCCCUUGCACACUCACAGUCCCUCACACACAUCACACACGUGUCCCUUGCACACUCAUCCAUCCCUUGCACACUCA